GCGGACGUGGCGGAAUUGGUAGACGCGCUAGCUUGAGGGGCUAGUGGCUAUUAUGGCCGUGGAGGUUCAAGUCCUCUCGUCCGCA
RNAcentral lists this transfer RNA (85 nucleotides) under Candidatus Omnitrophota bacterium. RNAcentral's name for it is "tRNA-Leu". It matches the Rfam family "tRNA". From Rfam's summary of the family: Transfer RNA (tRNA) molecules are approximately 80 nucleotides in length. Their secondary structure includes four short double-helical elements and three loops (D, anti-codon, and T loops). The record is from RNAcentral. RNAcentral also lists the same sequence under 1 other name. Lineage: Bacteria; Pseudomonadati; Candidatus Omnitrophota.